Molecule: long non-coding RNA, 3751 nt
Organism: Dunckerocampus dactyliophorus (ringed pipefish)
Lineage: Eukaryota; Metazoa; Chordata; Actinopteri; Syngnathiformes; Syngnathidae
Exons: 3
Source: RefSeq, a predicted model, not a curated record
ACAACCAGGAGACGAAGAGGCGUCACUCCUUCCCGCUGAUUGUUACCGAAGCAGAGAAGGCUGGUGUUUUUCAUGCCAUCAAAUGAGGAAUAAACCGGUUUACAUCUUAUUAGUAUUGUUGUUUACAAGGUGCGAUCAAUAACUGUAAAUCACAGACUCAAAUAUUGACGUCACAUGAGGAGUGAUCUCUCAUCUUAAACAUGCAAGAUCGUUGUAGCCACCAAGCAACUCUGCCUGGAAACAGGAAGUGUUGCGGUGCUUGUUGUGUGCGACCCUAAGACCGUAAAAGCUUCGCGUACAGGUGUGACGUGUAGCGUGAAGCAUGAUGGGAGGAGAUGUGAGCCGAGAGACUAAAAGUGAUGAAGAGCAGGAACGACACCUCUCCACCCCUGACUCGUCUUCAUUGCAAGAGCCUGCAGGAGCGCUGCCCCAGUGCAUGUUGGGAGACAGGAAGGUGGAUGACAUGCGAUUCAUGGUCACGUGCACUAAUUGGUACUGACUCACGUGAUGCAUUCAGGGAGCAGAGUAUGGCCACCCAGUCUGGAGAGGUACAAACCGUUUUUUGUCGUCUAAAAUGCCGUCUUGGCAGUGGGGUGGCUUCCGAGUUUGUCCAAGUGUUGUUUGGUAUGCAUUUGGUAUUGCUGCAGUACUUUUAGAGGUCAUCAGAGGUCACAAUGGUUGUCACGUGAUGAUGACGUGUUAUUUAAUGAUCCAUGAAACGUGAUAAAAAAUUGACGUUUAUUGCAAAGACAUUUUCAACAAAGAAAUAGAAAACUCAUGUUAAACAGCUGUGUUGCCAUGGUAACAACAAACGUAUGAAGAUGUCCUGAAGGAGGUGAGGUCAAACUAGAAAAAAAAAGCUUUGCACUUGAAAGUCAAAGUGGUGUGAACUUCAUUUCAUGUUAAAUAAACCCAAAUACAAAACGACAUGUUCUGAUCCAUGUGAAAAAGCUUUUAUUUACACAAGAAGCCGACUGUUAAAGCUAUUUGUGAUAUGUUUUUACAAACCAGCAAAGGCAACAACGUGCUCGCUAAAGGAAGACGCAGGUACUUUAAGCGACGCCCCCCCCAGGGACGCUUGUUGCAGAUCUGCAUCUCCCUUUAAAGGCAACUCACUGUCCACCACAUCCACCAGAGCCUCAACACAUCCCGACCGGGCUUGUUUGCACAAUCUCCCGCUCUCGUCCUUUCACAGGAAGUGUGUGUGUGUGUGUGUGUGUGUGUGUGAGAGAAAGUGGCACGAUGGGAUGACGUGACAAGCCCCGCCCAGCUGGCCGCCAAAAGCAACACACCAUGGAAAGGACCUAGCUGGUCCUUUUCCUUUCCACAAACAAUUAAGUGCGGAGAAUCAUCAUCAUUUCUAGGUCACGAUCCGCUUUAUUUAUUUACAAAAUCCUUUUUCUUUCUAAAACACCACGCUAAAGAAAAAGGUCACAGCUAGCUAGUGCUAUGCUAGUGAUGUGAAUAUGUGCUAACAUGCUAACUAGCGAGCAGGUGGACGUGUCUGGGCGAGGAGCAACUCCUCUCUGAUGUUUGGAAAUGUACAAAUAAAAGAAUAAAACCAUGUGAUGUCAUUCCAGCAACAUUUCUCACCUAAACUGUGGCCCGUCUUCCUCAUCACGGAAGGGGCGUCUGCUUGAAGGAACCGCCAACAUUCCAGUUGUGGCUGUCAGCCAUCUUUGUUGUUAGUAUUUAUGGCCUUUCUUUCCCCCAGUCACACCCACUCGUGCACGGCAUACUUGUAGUAGUGCGGUGUCAUGGCAGCCGGCUGCACGCUUUUGUUCUUGAACUGGAACACGGUGUAGACCAGGACCAGGACGCACAGCGACAGCACGCACGGGAUCACCACGGCGAUGGCGUUGACCGUGGCCGGGAUGUCGUUGAUGGCCACCAUGAUGUCCAGGUCGUCCAGGGGGCGCUGGCGGUCGUCACGGUUACUCUUCCCGCCGGGAUGCUCCAUGUCGGACUGUUCGCAUCCCAUCCAGUCCUUCAGGAUGGAUUUUGGGUAUCCGGGUUCCACCGACAACUUUUGGUUGUCAAACUUCCAGUAGUCCCGCCCCUUGUAGAAGUAGGUGUAGUCUGCGGGAGGGGGCACAAACAAUCACUUCUGCUUGUUUACCCUAUGACCCCAUGUGGUCAUGAGGUGUGUGUACAUGUCUAUGUGUGUACAUGCACAUGUGUGUACGUGUAUGUGUGUGUACUUCUGCGUGUUGGCGUAUUUCGGACACUCACAUCCCUCCCUGCUGACGAAGGCACCCUGGGGGGCAGGGGGAACGCCCUUCCACACGCUGAUGGGUUUGGGGUAGCCCGGGUCGGCCGCCCCCCUCUCCUCGUUGUAGCGCCAGUACCGGUCCCCCUUGAACAAGUACGUCUUUCCCACCGGAUCCCAACGCAGCGCCGCGUCCACGCCGCCUUGGGGCAGGCGCACGUUGAGCUGGGCCAGACUGCGGGGAAAGCCCGGCUCAGGCGUCACCUCCCGGAACAGCCAGUACUUGUCACCUAGGAGAGCGUGACGUGGUCAGGUUUCAAAAUAAAACAGGAAGUCGUCACUUAAAUCCUUCUUUACCUUUGAAGAAGACAAAUUUGCCGUCGGCUCUCUCGUAGGCGGCGUCGAUGUGAGGCGGCAAUCCCUUCCAAAAAUGAUCGAUCAGCAUCGGAUAACCUUCCAGAACUUUGUUGUUCCUCAGACGCCAGAACCAGCGAUCCUGAACACAACCAAGGUGGCCGGACAUUGUCUACGUGCUGACCUUCUCUUUUUAUGCCAACAAAUGUUUGCUCCAUCCUACACUUUUUUUUUUCCCACCACGCUAGAACAUUGUAGAACAUUCUAGACCAUUGUAAAUGCUAUCCUACUGCAUUCUAGAUCACUAUGGAGCAUUCUAGAAGAUUAUGAGUGUUGUCCUAGACCAGGGGUGUCCAAACUUUUUCCAGCGAGGGCCGCAUAAUGAAAAACGAAAGGAUGCAAGGGCCGCUUUGAUACAGUAUUUAGUAAACCAACACACAGAGGUAUGCUAAGAAGCUACAGUAUAUGUAGCUCUAGAAAAAACUGCAUUUCACCUUUGUAAUAUGGGUGAAAUGCUACUAAGAAUGACCUUUUUUCCAUAAUAUUACGAGUUUAUUCUCAUAAAAUUGCGACUUUUUUUCUAUUUCUGCUGGGUUUUUUUUCUUCAACUAUUUCGUUUCAGCUUUUGUCUUGUAAAUUUUCUCUUUAAAUCUUUUAAAACAAGAAUGUAUUUAAAAAAAAAAAAAAAAGUCUGGAGCCGCAAAACAUUACACAGCUUAUAAACUUGAAAAUGCUAUCUGUUUUUUGAUUGGGAGAAUAGAUGCUCUGAUGUUUUUAUGAACGAUUCUUUCAUGUAUUCUCCGUCUGUGAAUGGCUUCCGUCUCAUGUGCAGCCCAGUGUUGCCAACCGGGCGAUUUUCUCGCUAAGUCUGGCGACUUUCCAAACCCUCUUGGUGACUUAUUUUCUCCAAAGCGACUAGCGGCAAAUGUAAAGACUUUUCCUGGCGUCUUUGGGAGAUUUUUUUGGUAUUUGGAGGUGUGAAAGCAUAUAUUGCUCUGAGCGGCGAGUGCAGUCAGCUGCCGCAGCACACUCCACUGCUAAUGAUUUGCCACUUGAUAAGAUUUAAAAUGAUAUUUCCAUACAUGUUAGAUAAUUUGCCUCGUUUUAAGGGCAAUCUACUCUCUGACUUUCUAUAGUAUACCCUUAAUUUUAGAAUGAGGGAUUACUUUUUGUCUAGUUUAGUUGAGA